RNAcentral lists this ribosomal RNA (547 nucleotides) under uncultured Glomerales. Its description in RNAcentral is "SSU rRNA". It matches the Rfam family "Eukaryotic small subunit ribosomal RNA", at positions 548 to 1098 of the family's 1831-position model. Lineage: Eukaryota; Fungi; Glomeromycota; Glomeromycetes; Glomerales; Glomeraceae. The record is from RNAcentral.
UUGGAGGGCAAGUCUGGUGCCAGCAGCCGCGGUAAUUCCAGCUCCAAUAGCGUAUAUUAAAGUUGUUGCAAUUAAAAAGCUCGUAGUUGAAUUUCGGGGUCAGUAGAUUGGUCAUGCCACUGGUAUGUACUGGUCUCACUGAUUCCUCCUUCCUGAUGAGCCGUAAUGCCAUUAAUUUGGUGUUGCGAGGAAUCUGGACUGUUACUUUGAAAAAAUUAGAGUGUUUAAAGCAGGCUAACGCUUGAAUACAUUAGCAUGGAAUAAUGAAAUAGGACGUUCGAUCUUAUUUUGUUGGUUUCUAAGAUUGACGUAAUGAUUAAUAGGGAUAGUUGGGGGCAUUAGUAUUCAAUUGUCAGAGGUGAAAUUCUUGGAUUUAUUGAAGACUAACUACUGCGAAAGCAUUUGCCAAGGAUGUUUUCAUUUAUCAAGAACGAAAGUUAGGGGAUCGAAGACGAUCAGAUACCGUCGUAGUCUUAACCAUAAACUAUGCCGACUAGGGAUCGGAUGAUGUUAAUUUUAAAGACUCAUUCGGCGCCUUACGGGAAAC